Molecule: long non-coding RNA, 836 nt
Organism: Conger conger (European conger)
Lineage: Eukaryota; Metazoa; Chordata; Actinopteri; Anguilliformes; Congridae
Exons: 3
Source: RefSeq, a predicted model, not a curated record
UCACAGCAGUUCUAAUUCUAAUUCACACUGUGGCAGGAAAUAUGACACACACAGGAUAUGGUUGAAUAAAAAGAAGAUAGCAUUGGAGUUUUCUGUAGAAGCAAAUGCUACACAAACCACCUCAAUGCAACAGAACCUUCUGGUUGCACAUUUGUUGAAGAGCUGACCAUGGAAACCAAGCUGGUCUGUGUCUGGCUGGUCAGCAGACUGAUUCACACGAUCUCAGGAUGUUCUCUAUCUGCACCCGGAGGAGUCACUGGGUACAUAGGAGGCUCUGUGGUCCUGCCUUGCUUCUGCACUGACGGAGGGACAAUACCAAGAUCUGCCAGAUGGCUUUUUCAACCAGGUUCUACCAGUAUCAUACUUCGGUCAAGUGGUGGAGUGCACAACCGCUACAAAGACCGGGCGUUGAUUUCUGACUCCCGUGGAAACAUGUCUCUCCGUCUCUCAGAUCUCACUCUGUCAGAUGGAGGACAAUACAGGUGUGAAGCAGAUAGACAGUUUAAAGACAUCACUCUCACAAUAAAAGGGUGUGUUUUCUCUGAUUCUGGACCCAUACCCAUCACUGGAUUCACAGGACACUCAGUGGUUCUGCCCUGUAUCUGUACUGAUGUGCAGAAGAAACCUGAACAGAUCAAAUGGACUGCAGACCUAGGAAACCAAAACACUGUUAUAUUUCCACAAGAUCCUACCAGUGGCAAUGAUCGCUACAAAAACAGAGUGCAGCUGUUGGACCCUGUCUCCCCUGGAAACCUGUCUCUCCGUCUCUCAGAUCUCACUCCGUCAGAUGGGGGAAUAUACAGGUGUGAAGCAGAUGGACAAUACAGAGACAUCAG